Molecule: non-coding RNA, 6214 nt
Organism: Delphinapterus leucas (beluga whale)
Lineage: Eukaryota; Metazoa; Chordata; Mammalia; Artiodactyla; Monodontidae
Source: RefSeq, a predicted model, not a curated record
GAGGGUCUGCGAGGCGACCGGGCCCCUCGCGGCCCGCCGGAGGGUCCGCGCGCCGCCGGAAGUUGGAGGGGGCGCUCGUCCGAGCCCCGGCCCCACAGCCAAGCCCUCCGCAGGGUCCGCCCUCCGCCGGGCAUGGAGGAGGGCGCGGCAGCCGCGGCUGCCAGGACCCGCCCCCUCGCCUUCCAGAGCAGGCGACAGGCGGCGCGAGGAGGCGGGGCCGCGGCUGCUGGCGGUGUCUGCGCCUCGCGGUUUCGGAGCUAGCAGACGCUCGGGGAACAUGGCGGCAGCGGAGACCGCGGUCCCGGCGCUCCCCAGCGGCGGUGGCUUGGGGGCGCCGUCGGGCACGGUCCCCGUGCUUUUCUGCUUCUCGGUCUUCGCGCGGCCCUCAGCCGUGCCGCACGGCGCGGGCUACGAGCUGCUCAUCCAGAAGUUCCUCAGUCUGUACGGCGACCAGAUCGACAUGCACCGCAAAUUCGUGGUGCAGCUCUUCGCGGAGGAGUGGGGCCAGUACGUGGACCUGCCCAAGGGCUUCACGGUGAGCGAGCGCUGCAAGGUGCGCCUCGUGCCGCUGCAGAUCCAGCUUACUACCCUGGGAAAUCUUACACCUUCAAGCACUGUGUUUUUCUGCUGUGAUAUGCAGGAAAGGUUCAGACCAGCCAUCAAGUAUUUUGGAGAUAUUAUUAGUGUGGGACAGAGAUUGUUACAAGGGGCCCGGAUUUUAGGAAUUCCAGUUAUUGUAACAGAACAGUACCCUAAAGGUCUUGGAAGCACUGUUCAAGAAAUUGAUUUAACGGGUGUAAAACUGGUACUUCCAAAGACCAAGUUUUCAAUGGUAUUACCAGAAGUAGAAGCAGCAUUAGCAGAGAUUCCUGGAGUCAGGAGUGUUGUGUUAUUUGGAGUAGAAACCCAUGUGUGCAUCCAACAGACAGCUCUGGAGCUCGUUGGCAGAGGUAUUGAGGUUCAUAUUGUUGCUGAUGCCACGUCGUCGAGAAGCAUGAUGGACAGGAUGUUUGCUCUUGAGCGUCUUGCUCGAACUGGGAUCAUAGUGACUACAAGUGAAGCUGUUCUGCUACAGCUGGUGGCUGAUAAAGAUCAUCCAAAAUUCAAGGAAAUUCAGAAUCUAAUUAAGAUCAUGCAAGCAAGGUGAUGAGGCCUAAUUAUAGGAAGCCUGAAUUGAUUUUAAUACAUUAGUCUUUGAAUUGGAAGUGUCUCCAAUUUUGUAAGGCUGAGGAUUUGGGAGGCCAGCAAGGAAACAGGCUCCUAAGUUGUACAAGCACAAGGAACUCAAUUUAGCAAAGAACCUCAGUGAGUCUGGAAGCAAGUUUUCCCCCAGAGCCCCCAGGUAAGAAUGCGGGCGGGACCCCCAAUGCCUUGAUUUCUGCCUUGUGAGACCCUGAGCCGAGAUGGCCCCCAUGCUGUGCCAGGACUUCUGAUCUCCAGAACUAUGAGGUAGUAAACGUCUCUUAAGCUGCUAAAUUAGUGAUAAUUCAUUACACAGCAAUAGAAAAUUAAUGUACUUGCUUUUUUUGUUUGUUGUGGUUUUUUUUGAUUUGCAAUCAUGUUUAUAUGAAGAAAAAGAGGAAGAAAAUAAGUGGGAUGCCAUCAAGACAGUAAAUCUAGCUUCUAUUCAUUUAUUUCCAGAAAAGUGGGAUGGGAGGGAAAGUCCCUAAACUGUAGAAGUCCCUUGGCUUCAUAUUUGUUCAUUGUUCUCACAGCUGUUUCCUUGCUGAAUUGUUCCUCCCACUUGAGACAGUAAAUGCAAGAAAUGAAAGGUGAUGUGUCUCAGAACCUAUGGUUAAUACACAAAUGCUCACUGUUAACGUAUUUUGAAUACGUGCAGCUUUGAAUUGGACUUCUGGAAGAUACAUACUGUGCUUUCACAAAAUAGCCUGUUUGGCAGCCCCAACUAAAAAUGUGGAAUGCUUUGUAAAUGUCGGAAAUGUGGGGAUUUUUCCAAGAAAUUAAGACCUAGAAAUAAUACAUGAAACACACAAAGAAGGCAGGUGUAAAUUGUUAGCUGUUACCCAAAUGUUAACAUCUUUUUGGUUGUAUUGUUUGUAUGCCAAUAAGUGCUUUUUUCUUUUGGAGAAUUUGGCAAAACUUAAAUACUGUGUCGUAUGAUGUCCAUAUUGGAUUUCAGCAGUUCAUUCCUGCAGGUAGACAGCAUGGUGUAGAUGUAACAUUGUGUGUGUUUAUCUAUCACAUACCUUUCUUUUCAUAUUUAAAAAAAAUGGUUGGAGUUGUUGGUGGAGGGAAUUGGCAGGAAAGAGAAGAAUGGGGGAUUGCCUUUAAAUACUGGAGAAAGAGCCACUGGUUAUGUGAUGCAUUGUGUAAUGAAAAGCUUUGAAAUGGUAGACCCAGCUUCAUUCUUAAUAGCUUUAACACUGGGGGCAAAUGUCUCAUUUGUACAAUGAAGAGAUUGGACUGAACUGUACCAUGUGUAAGGUUCAUUGCAGUUCUAAAUUGUAUACUUCAGAUUUUUAAAGUGAAUCAAAUUUAAUAUUUGAGCGUCUGUCAUAUUAAGUAACUCAAUCCUCAUAACAACCAUAUAAUGUAACUGAAGAACUAAGUGAAUAAGUAACUUGCCCAAGGUCAUCCAUCUGGUUGGAAGUGAGAAGGCUGAGAUUUUAACCUAGAAUUUAGAAACUGCUGUAACUGCCAUAACUACUAUGCUGUACUCCCUCUGGCCGUCACGAGAGCCAGUCAUUGUGCGAGGGAAGCCUCUGUGAGCAGGUAAUGAUGUGUGAGGCAUGGGUGGCAAGUGGGGAUUCUUUAUUUCCAAGUUUUAAAAAAAUUUCUAUAUAGACAACUUUAUGCUCUGUUUGCUAUAAAUAGCAUUUUUGAAGACUAAACAUUUUAAAAUAUUCUUUAGAGAGCUCAUUGAGAAAGGUGAGUUCCAUUAUAUGCCAACCGUCUUGCUGUCUUUAGUCUUCCUUUAAAUAUUAACUAAAUUGAUUUAGCUAUGCAUUCAAAAAAGUAAUUAGAAAUUUUGUCAACUCGCCCAACCUCUGUAUUCAAAUCUUCUAGAGAUAAAUAGAAGCUUAAUUUGUCUAUGGCGAAUAUUGACUUCGACAAAUUUCUGCAUAUUUUAAUUACAAAAUAACUAUACUUAGCUAAAACUAAAUCCAUCUCUUUUAAAUACCUGAAUAUUUUAGUUAGCUUUGAAUAAAAAGUCUUCAGUGACAUGAUUAGAACCAAAAUUAGCAUAAAAGCUUUUUAGAAUUAUAGAGGAGUGGGAACACACCUAUGCGGUCGCCCUUGUUCUCUUUCCAUGUUGACCAAUCUCAUAUGUUCUGAAUAAAUCUAGUUAAAUCAUUUGCUAUAAUAACCUGUAGACAUGACUUUUCAAGCUAAAACCAGUGGCAGGCUUGGGAUUUGAUUGUACACUUCUUAUAAGAUAAUUACCAUGCUACUGUUUCAUGGAUGCUAGCAGAAGACAUGACAUUCCUGGAUCAGAGACAAAGGACUUAAUUAUGCAAGCACUGUGAGCAGUAGCAUGUGUGCAUUGGUUCCCUUUACACCUAAGUCCCACAGGGGCGAUGCAGUAUGUACCAGAUGGAUACCAUGCACUCAGUGGGUUUACACUGAACUUUUAUAGCAAACAGUAAGCAAACCUGUUCUUUGUCCAUAAAAAGCUGUUACCUCAUUACUCAAGGUUACCGGCUGCAUAAACAAGACUGAGAAGUGGGCUGGGUAGAAGUGUUCAGGGCCUUGAAGACAUGGCACACCCAGCAAGACCUGGAGGAGUACAAGAGCUCUAAGGAGGACUUACCUCCCAGCAGACAGGUGUGGUGAACUUUAGUGGAAAAGGUAGUGAGGCAGGGCUCAGGUUCUUGUCCUAGCUCUCUGCAGCAGCCUUCAACAAGCCUUUCUGAGACAUCUCUAGGUUCUCUUGUAUAGGAAAUGGAGUUGGAUGAGAUGACAAAAAAUAUCUACUCUUUCAUCUAGAUAUUAGGGUUAUACUUUUCUGAAAACCUUCAUUUAAAAUAAGACUGAACAGGUUGCCUAAGGCUAAAAAUUGAGCCUCAGAAUUUUUACAAAAUCAAGCAACACGAGCACAGAAUGGCUGAUUCCCCUCAAGUGUUAAAUGGAUUCUUAGGAGAGAAGAUGAAUCAUUGUAUUGGUUCAAACAAGGAUGCCCUUUAUAAUCUUAAGAGACAUACCUUAACGCAAACACAAUUAUAAAAGCGUGAACAAGAAAUGUUACCUCAUUUUCUUUGAUAAACAAAAAAAUUCCAAUAAUUAUAUAAGGCAUAAGGGCAUUCAUUAAAAAAAUUAUCUUUAUGGAAUGUCUGGACCAGCUUAGAGAUUUUAGAUUGAAUGCAUUGUUUGAGAUUUUUUUUCAAGAACAAAUGAAUGAGAGCUCAUUACUUAAUCUUGUGAAGCACAUUUUAUAGAUUUUUUAUUUUAGAUUUUGGAAUAGAUUCUGUGAAUUCACAAAUUUUUCUGAAGGUUACUACAUUAAGAUCAGCUUUGUUGGUCGAAACUUCUCAAAAAUAGGUUAAGCAUCUACUUUUCACCCCUUGAAAAAUUCUACUCGAAAGAACUACUAAAUUUUUAAAUGAAAGAUACUUGGGAAGAUGUUAAAUGAUUUGAGUCCACAUUAACUUGCAAAAUGGCAAAAAUAGUUCUGGAAAAUCCAAUCAUGCUAUCACUGUUAAAAUUUAGAUUGUACACAAAGCUCUGUUUUGGCUACUUAGAAUGUGGAAAGAUGUUCUGGUACAUGGGGUUUAUUUAUAUUAACAUCAUCCAGCAAACACGUUCUGUCACUGAUAGACCAGCAGCACAGGUUUUGAAGUAUUUUAACACAUAAGAAAUAGACUGCAAGCAAACCUUGGCUACCAAGAGUUUUCUGGAGUGAAUAUAUAUGGGUUUGUCUGUUCCUUCAGUACUGCUUUAUUGACUGCCUACCCAGUGAAAGCCUCCCUGCCAGGGAAUGUCUCCAGAAGAGAGAGCUGUUCUGAAGAAGUUCAGUCUAAUGAGAGACAAAACAGGUCACACAGGGUGGUUAGUACAAAGAUGAGGUCCUGGACAUAAUUGGGGAAUGCUGGAAAACAAAUUCUCCCCAGAUGGGUUACGGCUUUUUAAAUCCAGGGCCUGGAACCUUUUCAUUUUAAUUCUUUCUGGCAGGGUUUGUUUCUUUGGCUUUUGGCUGGUUAGUUUGGUUUAAUAGAUACAAUUAUAUUGUAAUAUAUAAUCUAUAUUAUGGUUUGUUUUAAUAUUCGUAACAUUUCCUGCCUUAACAGGUUAGGACAUUUUACUCCUUGAAGGAGCUUACAAUCUAGUUGUCUAAAAAGAGCUGCACAACCUGCACUGGCCACGCCCAACACAGGUGAAGGGCUUCGUACAAAAUGGGCAGUAAUAGGAGCUUGAUACCACUUACUCUGAGCCAGGUACUUAGAUGCUGUGACUUCCCUAAUACUCAUAACCUUGUCAGGUUGUUUCUGUUAUCCUUACACGGAGAGGUUAAGAACCUGGAGCUAGGAGUUGGUAUGAAUGAACCCUGUUUUACGGGCUCUCCCACUAACUGCAUAGCCUUGAAUAUUCCUAAAUAUCAGCUAUGGGGAAGGACAGCUCACGAUACAUACACCAGGGCAACGUCUAAAAAAAUUCUGUUGAGUAGACCAGUUAUUCAUGGUAUGUAUCGAUUAAAGACAGCUCUGCUGGGGUGUUGCUAGUCGUGCCGGGUGACCGGGGGUUAAUGUGCAGUAGGCAUUGCGUAACCCAGAGCGCUCAAACCCGAUUGCCCAUGGGGUGAGGCAAGCAAUACAAAUAAAUGAAAUGGGACAGGUAGGCCUGAUACGUGUGCAGCUAAGUUUGAGAACCAGUGCUCUGAGACUUCUCUACUCAACGAGCCCCUCAAAUCAUCACCAUCAUACCUGUGGGAAAUAGAGAAUCUCAAGCCCCAUGCUAGUACUACCAGUACAUAAUCUGUGGUUUACCAAAAUUCCCAGGUGAUUCUAUGCAGGCUAAAGUUAGAGAAGCAUUGCCUAAUAAUCAAGUGACAGGUUGAACCUCACUCUAAAGUCUUAGAACAGUGGUUCUUAAAUCACGGCUACGCAUAAAAAUCAGGGAGUUUCAAAAAGGUACUAAUAUUCACAUCUGUCAUUGGAAAUUCUGUUUUAAUUGAUCUCUGGUUAAAAUCCUGGAAUCAGUAUUUUAAAAAAUUGUCCCAAAGUGAAUCUAAUAUGCCAGGGUUAGAAAAAAAAAAAAA